ACACAUGCMAGUCGAACGGAAAGGCUCCUGCUUGCAGGGGUACUCGAGUGGCGAACGGGUGAGUAACACGUGGGUGAUCUGCCCCGCACUUCGGGAUAAGCCUGGGAAACUGGGUCUAAUACCGGAUAGGACCACUUCUUGGAGGUUGUGGUGGAAAGUUUUUUCGGUGUGGGAUGAGCUCGCGGCCUAUCAGCUUGUUGGUGGGGUAAUGGCCUACCAAGGCGUCGACGGGUAGCCGGCCUGAGAGGGUGUACGGCCACAUUGGGACUGAGAUACGGCCCAGACUCCUACGGGAGGCAGCAGUGGGGAAUAUUGCACAAUGGGCGCAAGCCUGAUGCAGCGACGCCGCGUGGGGGAUGACGGCCUUUCGGGUUGUAAACUCCUUUCGCUAGGGACGAAGCGC
RNAcentral lists this ribosomal RNA (403 nucleotides) under Corynebacterium coyleae. Its description in RNAcentral is "bacterial SSU rRNA". It matches the Rfam family "Bacterial small subunit ribosomal RNA", at positions 51 to 453 of the family's 1533-position model. The record is from RNAcentral. Lineage: Bacteria; Bacillati; Actinomycetota; Actinomycetes; Mycobacteriales; Corynebacteriaceae.